This is a non-coding RNA of Oncorhynchus mykiss (rainbow trout), 2474 nucleotides long. The record is from RefSeq and is a predicted model, not a curated record. Lineage: Eukaryota; Metazoa; Chordata; Actinopteri; Salmoniformes; Salmonidae.
GUGUUAGUUGUGAGUACAUGGAACGAUGACUGGCUACAAAUCACAACAGCUCGAGGAUUUAUUAAAUCCUCUGCCCAAGUUCACGGAUCCAGGGGAUGAUAAUGAUAUACACUAUUUGUAAUGUUUUAUAGAGACGAAAGCCAAGGUGGUAGAGGCAUUUGAGGGUGGUGGCGAUGAUGUGGUUGCCUUGAGUGGCCUCCGGAAUAAAGCUAGAACUCUGCUGGAAGAGACAGACAAACGGUACCUGGGCAAGGCAACCUCGUAAAGACAUGCUAAAGGGGAUCGAAUGUUCUGGAGAGGAUGAGGACAAUGAUGAUGAAAACAAGGAGGAAGCUGAAGAUGACAAUGUUGAUGAUGCUGAUCUGGAGGAUGGAGAGGCUGAAGAUGGAGAUGAUGAAAAGAUUGAGAGUGACACUGCUAAGAAGAAAAGCUUGGUGUCUAAGCAGAAGGAGACGGACAUCACACUUCCCUCAGAGACAGACUUACAUAAGCUAACAGAGGGGAUGGAUCACUGGAGAGAGCGAAGAGGAGGAUGAUGAUGAUGAUGAAGAAAGUGGCGAUGAGGAUGGAGGGAACGAGGAAGAUGAGGAUGAACAGAUGGAGGAUGACGAUGUGGGAGCUGUGAUGAUAUUUUCUUAAGAGAAGGUGGAUGAAGAGGUGGAGAAAGGGAAAGCUUGGAAAGAUCAACUUGCUCUUUGGGACCAGCUACUUGAGGGGCAAAUGAAUGUGCAGAAAGCUCUUCUGACAGCCAAUAAGCUGCCACAACCACAUACCUUCCCAUAGUUCAAGAAGAGGGGUGGAGCAGUGUUUGCUGGAGCGUUGAAGAAUAGUCACAAAGCCCUGAAGGCUCUCCACUGGAGCUACAGGACCAGCUGCUCCAUCAGAACCCAGACAAUAGGCCCAUCUCCCUGGGUAAGACCUGGGGAGCACACAGAAACAUCCUCACCCAGGUGGAACAGGUGCUGAUGGACAAGAAGAGCCUGCUUAGACACACCCAGACCAGACGCUCAGAGUACAGAGUCCUGGGCAAGCUAGAGGCCACAGCCCCCCUACCUGAGACCACCACUGCAGAGGGAUAUAGGAUAGGGAACUUGUUGCGAAAGCAGCCUGAGAGUGUGUAUUGACGUGUCCACCUUUUGACUGUAAACAGGGCUCGACAUUAACGCUUGUCCACGGCAAGUCAAAUCACAAUAUCAAGCAAUUACUCUGAUCAGAAUUGGAUCAUUUGUCCUCUGGAUGCGAUGUAUUGCUGUUCUCCCAAUUUCUGCAGAGCGCAUCAAGUAGGACUAUUAUAUUGACAGGCAGGAGCAGCCUGUCAAUCUUCCCUGGUUGUGAGCGUUUGAGAUCAAAACACGUAACCAUAUGUACUAAUUAGCAAGGAAUGUAUAUUCCUUGCUAAUUAGUGAGUUAUUUCCACAGUUAUAGCAACUUUUUGGUCAGCAAACAGGGUUUGUACGGUCCCAUGCUGUCAAUAGAUCUACCCUGAAACCGGAAUAUUCUAGCCCUACAAGUUUAUAUAUAAACAUGCCUUAGUUACCUUGCUUUGAAAUAGCCAACUUUAGCCAUUUGAUCCCUGAUACAAUUAGUACAUUUAUUUUUAUAUAGAUGAAAAGUAUUUAGUUGUACUUGUAAUCUAAUGUUGCAAUAUUUUAUAGGCUAUGAAGGGUGGCCAACCAUCCUCCAGAAGAGCCUUAAAGGGGCAAUGUUGUAUUUUGAGACAGGCUUGAAUAUACAAAGAAGCCAAUAGACAGAGGAUAGCCUACAUUUUCGUCUCAUGGUAAUUGGCCUAAUAACUAAUUGUAGUUUGAAAAGUGGUUCCUUGGAUCAUACAACACCAUUUUUACUCACCCCCCUAAAGUUAACUGUACAAGAAGCACUUUAGUUAAAGGCCCAGUGCAGUCAAAGAUGGGAGUUUCCUGUGUUUUAUAUAUAUUUCCACACUAUGAGAUUAGAAUAAUACUGUGACAUUUAGUAAAUUAUGAUAAUUUCAUUUUAGUGUAAGAGCUGUUUGAAAAGACGACCUGACAUUUCAGCCUGUUUUGGUGGGAUGGAGUUUUGGCCUGCCUGGUGGCAUCACCCGGCUGUAAAAUUAUUUCAUAGAUCAAUAAGAAAGAGCGUUUCAGACCACUCUGCCAAUAACAGCUAGUUUUCAGUUUUCCCUUCCCCACUCAGACCAUUCCCAGACAGUCCUAGCAUAAAUCUUGCUUGAGAAAUUGCUAUUUGCUAAAAACUCACCAGAAGUGACCCGGUGGAGCAAGCAGAGCGAGGCGGUGGAAAGAAUGGGACAGGCAGAGCAGUGACUGUAUGCAAGCAGGAUAGUCCAUAUCGCCAAUAAUCUUUGCUGAGAGCAAUGUUGUGUUUCCAAAAGUGGAUGAAUUGGCCUAAUUUAGCACGUAUGCUAAAGCCUCAACACAUAGCUGUCUCUUCCAAUUCAAAUGAGCUAAAACAAAUGGUAAUAAUGACUACAUUAAAAU